GUGCUCACUUUGGCAGCACAUCUACUAAAAUUAGAAUGAUACAGAGAUUAGCAUGACCCCUGCUCAAGGAUGACAUGCAAAUUCGUUAAGCGUUCCAUAUUUUA
Small nuclear RNA from Zalophus californianus (California sea lion), 104 nucleotides. The record is from Ensembl. NCBI's taxonomy places the organism in Eukaryota, Metazoa, Chordata, Mammalia, Carnivora, Otariidae.